This 497-nucleotide ribosomal RNA is filed under the name uncultured bacterium. RNAcentral describes it as "partial 16S ribosomal RNA". It matches the Rfam family "Bacterial small subunit ribosomal RNA", at positions 28 to 507 of the family's 1533-position model. The record is from RNAcentral.
GAUGAACGCUGGCGGCGUGCCUAAUACAUGCAAGUCGAGCGAACAGACGAGGAGCUUGCUCCUCUGACGUUAGCGGCGGACGGGUGAGUAACACGUGGAUAACCUACCUAUAAGACUGGGAUAACUUCGGGAAACCGGAGCUAAUACCGGAUAAUAUAUUGAACCGCAUGGUUCAAUAGUGAAAGACGGUUUUGCUGUCACUUAUAGAUGGAUCCGCGCCGCAUUAGCUAGUUGGUAAGGUAACGGCUUACCACGGCAACGAUGCGUAGCCGACCUGAGAGGGUGAUCGGCCACACUGGAACUGAGACACGGUCCAGACUCCUACGGGAGGCAGCAGUAGGGAAUCUUCCGCAAUGGGCGAAAGCAUGACGGAGCAACGCCGCGUGAGUGAUGAAGGUCUUCGGAUCGUAAAACUCUGUUAUUAGGGAAGAACAAAUGUGUAAGUAACUAUGCACGUCUUGACGGUACCUAAUCAGAAAGCCACGGCUAACUACGUG